This 1969-nucleotide long non-coding RNA is filed under the name Sus scrofa (pig). RNAcentral describes it as "lncRNA (ENSSSCG00005032490.1)". Lineage: Eukaryota; Metazoa; Chordata; Mammalia; Artiodactyla; Suidae. The record is from RNAcentral.
CAUCGUAACCGCUCCGUCAGUGUUGGUGAAUUAGCGACUGAGGGGCUGAGUGGGUAAUAGGGUGCGUGUGAAAGAACAGCAGCAGCAGCCGAAUCCUGCGUUAGUGUCAGGGGGACAGCAACCUGAUCCAGGCGUGUGCAUGAUCCAGGCGUGUGCGUGUGUUCUUUUCCACUGCAGGGUGUUAUACGGGAUAUUAGGUGUCGUUUCCUGCCAUAUACGUAGGACCUUGUUGUUUAUUUUACAGGUAAUAGCGUGUAUAUUUUAUAAAACUCUUAAUUUAUGUCUUUUCACCUCCUAAUCCACUUUGGUAACUGCACGUUUAUUUUCUAUGUCUAUGGGUCUGUUUCUGUUUUGUGAGUAAAUUUGUUUGUAUCUUUUUUUUUUUUUCCGUCUUUCGUCUUUUUAGGGCUGCACCAGCUGCACAUGGAGGUUCCCAGGCCAGGGGUCGAGUUGGAGCUGUAGCUGCCAGCCAACACCACAGCCACAGCAACGUGGGAUCCGAGCCAGUCUGUGACCUACACCACAGCUCACGGCAACGCCGGAUCCUUAACCUGCUGAGCAAGGCCAGGGAUGGAACCCACAACCUCAUGGUUCCUAGUCCGAUUCUGUUUCCACUGAGCCACGAUGGCAACUCCGUUUGUAUCAUUUUUUUAGUGAUGAUUUGUAAAUAAGUAAUAUCGUCUGAUAUUUGUCUUCCUCUGCCUUCACUUAGUGUGAUUAUCCCUAGGUCCAUCCGUACUGCUACAAAGGGCGUGAUUUUGUUCUUUUUCGUGGCUGAGUAAUUGUCCAUUGUGCUUGGGGACCACAUGUUGAUCCACUCCUCUGUCGCUGGGCGUUUAGGUGGCUUCCAUGUCUUGGCAGUUGUAAAGAGUGCUGCUGUGAGCAGAGGCCGUGCUUGUAUCCUGUUGAAUUAUGAAUUUUUCUGGAUAUAUGCCCGGCAGUGGGAUUGCAGGAUCACAUGGCAACUCUGUACUUAGAUUUUUAAGGGACCUCCAUACUGUUUCCCGUAGUGGCUGCACCAGGUGACGUUCCCACCAGCAGAGUAGGAGGGUUCCCUUUUCCCCACACCCUCUCCAGCAUUUAUUGUGUGUGGACUUUUUGAUGACGGCCAUGCUGGCCGAUGUCACCUGGCCCCUUACGGUGGUUUUAAUUGGCAUUUCUCUAGUCAUUAGUGAUGCUGAGCAUCUUUUCAUAUGCUUUUUAGCCACUUCUUUGUCUUCUUUGGAGAAAAGUCUCUCUAGGUCUUCUGCCAAUUUUUGGACUGAGAUGUUAUGGUUUUUUGAUACUGAGUUGUAUGAGCUGAAUAUAUAUUUUGAAAAUUCUUAUUGGUCACAUCAUUUCAAAUAUUUUCUCCCAUUCUGUAGGUUGUCUUGUGUUGUGGUGGUGGUUAUUUAUGAUUUCCUUUGCUGUGCAAAAGCUUUUAAGUUUAAUCACAUCUCAUUUGUUUAUUUUUAGUUUUAUUUCUAUUCCUCUAGGAGGUGGAUCCAAAAAAAUAUUGCUGGAGUUGCUAUUGUGGCUCAGCAGGUUAAGAACCCAACAUAGUGUUCCCGAGGAUACAGGUUUGAUCCCUGCCCUCGCUGAAGGAUCUGGCAUUGCCACAGGCUGUCCUGUAGGCUGCAGAUGCGGCUCAGAUCUGGUGUGGCUGUGGCUGUGGUGUAGGCCGGCAGCUGCAGCUCCAAUUCAACCCCUAGUCUGGGAACUUGGGUAUGCCACAGGCACAGCCCUAAAAAUCAUAAAUAAAUAAAUAAACCCAAAACAUAUUGCUAUGAUUUUUGUCAAAGUGUGUUUUGGGAGUUCGUUGCUGUGACGCAGCAGGAUCAGUGGCAUUUCCUCAGCACUGGGACACAGGUUCCAUCCUCGACCUGGCACAGUGGGUUAAAGACCUGGCAUUGCCACAGCUGCAGCUUGGGUUGCAACUGUGGCUGAGAUCUCUUCCUGGGCCUGAGAACUCCAUGUGCCAUGGGGCAGC